This 107-nucleotide small nucleolar RNA is filed under the name Gossypium arboreum. RNAcentral describes it as "Plant small nucleolar RNA R71". It matches the Rfam family "Plant small nucleolar RNA R71". From Rfam's summary of the family: R71 is a member of the C/D box family of snoRNAs containing the C (UGAUGA) and D (CUGA) box motifs. Multiple nearly identical copies of this snoRNA have been identified in Arabidopsis, and it is thought to function as a 2'-O-ribose methylation guide for 18S ribosomal RNA. The record is from Rfam by way of RNAcentral. Lineage: Eukaryota; Viridiplantae; Streptophyta; Magnoliopsida; Malvales; Malvaceae.
AUUCCGUGAUGAGGGCACUUCUGUAAUAAUUCUUUGUACCUUUCCCAUGCCUCAUACAAGGACUCAUCAUCCAUUUUUUGGACGGUAGUGAUCUCAUUUCUCAACUU